Motacilla alba alba is the source of this 10013-nucleotide long non-coding RNA. RefSeq lists it as uncharacterized. NCBI's taxonomy places the organism in Eukaryota, Metazoa, Chordata, Aves, Passeriformes, Motacillidae. The record is from RefSeq and is a predicted model, not a curated record. The transcript has 3 exons.
AAAGUUAGAUUCUUCCCAUCCCUUGUUAAUUAGCCACACAGAGAAAUAAAAUCUUUAAAAGGUUUGGAGAACUCAGUUUGAUGUGGCUCGAACAGAACACUUCUUACAAUCCCCUCUCGCAGAAAUGUGUAGCAGACCUGUAACAGGACAGCCUAUGCUAACUAAAUAUUUGGCAGACGGGGAAACGAGGUUUCUUGUUCAAUUUAUCAUGUGUUCUUGCUUUACUCAUUCUAUAUAUUCUCCCCAGGAGUCAGUCCUCCUUUGGCCCUUUUGAAUAAAAUUUCAGUGCGACUUCCCUAUGCCCAGAAGUUUCUGAAUGGUGUGGAUUUUCAGAAUAAAGAGAAGCAUGCAUUCUGGGCUCUUAGUGUUUGUCUUAAGGCAGAUCAGCCAACAGACCUAUCCAAAAUCAGUUUAUCAUAGAAAUUGCUUAUUUCAUGGUGACCUUUCCCAACAGACAAGCAGUAAUGAAAAAUUAUUUAGGAUUUAUUUUUUCCUUAUAAGAUUUACUGCAUCUUUACUGAUGGCAAAAUAGCAACAUAUCCCCUACCCUCACAAUCUUUUCUCAUCUUUAUAAUAUCUCAACUAUGUGUAAUAUUAAUUUUCAUUACUGCUGUCACUAUGAGAUAAAAUGAAUGCUAUGAUUCCUAACUUACAGAUGAAGAGCUGAGAAAAGCAGUUAUUUAUUCUAAAGCUGUUCCCUGGUUCUGACAAUCUAUUUUCAUACACACAGGAAUAAGAUUUUUUUCAGAACACCUAGUGUUGUGUAGCAUUUCAUGGGUUAACAAGAUAAGUAAAUUUACAUCACAAUAUGUUGAAUUCUAGAUGAAAAUAGCCCAUAUUUUUGAAGCAGUCACUUGGACAGAAGGUCAAUCAGCAGAUGUAAAGGAUUAAAAAAGUCACUUAAUAUGCCUACGCUUGGAAAUGCUCUAAGUGAGGUUUACAGAAUUCCUAAGAUCUAAGGGGGAAGAGUUUUAUAGAGAAAAAUCAGAAAAAGAAACAAUGGAGAAAUCAUUUAAUUGCCUAUUUCCCCAGCUGGAGUGUAGCAUCUUACUUUUACAUUUUCAUUCAGGAUUAUAACUGUCACACCACAUUAUGCUUUGCUAAUGCCUUCAAGAAUAAUUGCCACUUUGUAAAAGCACAAAACAUUUAGAAAACACUACUUUAAUCACAAAACCUUGCAAAAGCACAAAAAAUGUUGAAAACACUAAUCACAAAACUAUUUUUCUUCCACAAACCCCAAACAGUAACUGAUUUAGUCUUUGUUCUGGUUCUGACAAUAAGAAGCAUUAUGAAAACAGCCCUUCCAAUGACACUUUUCACUGUGACGUCCAAGUCGUUAUAUCCUCUCUUACAGCGUGAUGUUUAAAUGAGUUUUGAGAGAAAUAAAAAAAAAAAAGUAUUAAUGAUGAUAAUUAAGGUUUCUGAGGGAUAAUCAUUGGAAAGAGACUCCAGCCAGUCAAAGAGAGUGUUUCCUUCGUUUUAUAGUAGCUAUUUUCUUCUUCUACCUCCUCUUGCUAGAUAUUUUCCUGCUGGCUGAUGCUUAGCUCGCAAACUUAAUGCCACUAUAGGAUUUGGUCUCCUAUGCCUGCAGCUGUUUUGAUGCUCCAGAAUGCAUACACGUUCUGCCCACCCUUUUAACAGCUAAAGUUUGGAGUAAAGGAAGUUAAAAGUCUUUUGAUAGUUACCAUAUUUUCCCAUGCCUGGUAAUUCCUCCAACAAGCUUGCACUGGAUUCCAUUAGUGAAGCAGAAGUCUCUCUUGACAAUCACAAAAUAUAGUGAACAACAUCACUUAUUUUUUUCCUUAAAACUACCAGCUCUGAGUCUCCAGCUAGAGGUUCUGCACCAGAAAUAUAAUGAUUUCACCUGCGGUGGCAUCAGCAGCAAGCAUCAAAUGAAAAGAGAUUGAAACAGAGAGCGAGUGCUUCUAUUUCUCAUUCUCUCCUGUGCUUGUCAUCAUGCUGCCAUUUCAGAUAUUGAGAUCACUCAACCUUGGCAUGAGCAAAACUUGUCUCUGAGGACAAGAUAGCAAGUGAAAGAGCAGCUUUUAGACUGGAGUCUCUUAAAAACACAUCCUUGCAGGCAACUGUGAAAAUUCAACAUUUGCCUUCCCCAACUUAAACAUUUCCUUCUUACUUCCAUCAUGUAAGUAUACAUUCUUCCACCUUGGAAAUGAGAAAGAAAACCAAAUUUUGCAGCUUUUUGUGAGAACAUUUGAAUGAUCCAGCCAUCACAGUAGCUAUGGUACUCAAGCCGGUGAAAACACCUGUUUCAAACACAGUCUGAUUUGUUUUAACAUAACCAAACUUUGCUGGCACUGAAAACUAUCCCCAUACAAAUAAGGAGAUAUAUUCUUGUGCAUCAGCAAGCUCUAAAUGUAUCUUAGGUUUUAUUUCUCCUGCACCUUAACUGUUUCUAUCAAGAAUCACUCACAGACCAUUAACUGGCAUAGCAAAAAAAGAGGAAAGAGAGAUAAAGCAUUAAAUGGAGUGAGGUUUCACAUGUCAGAUGAAAAUUUGGGAAAGUGGAGCUCUUUUCUUCAGUCUGACAGCUUUCCUGGAAUCAUAGGUACAAUCUUAAACAUCUCAGCUCUGUUACCCAUCAAUAAAAAGGGGGAAAUUGUACUUUAUCUUUGUUUCACUGUGAUGCAUUGAAGACAAGUACAUCUCCAAUUUAAAGUUUCAUAGAUACUUCAGUAAUGGGCAACAUGGAAGAAUGAAAGAUAGCAACUUCCUCAAGAAAGAUGAAAUUUAAUGAGUUUAGCCAAGGCAAACUCUUAAGCAGUGAGUAGACAGCAGCAUUGAGCUGCACUGGGGGAUGAUCUCAAAGUGUACACGUUUCCUAAAUAAUACUUUCAGGCAAUACUUUCCUUCCUUAAAGAGCUUCAGUAGGUGCCCUUAUGUCCUUUGAAUCUACACUCUGACUGUUCUGCCGAGGAGGUCGUGCUCCGGAGCAGUUUUCUCUUUGCACAUCAGGACUGUGUGAUGUGUAGCACCAGCAAAAACUCAAAACAUUUCCUGUAGCUGCUGCUACCGUCCCUCCCUACAUCUGAGAUGAAGACAAGAGCAAGUUUCAGGAUCACAGGUGUACAUUGCAUGUCUGCCUUACUGCAUAGAGAUGAUUUAUUAUGUCUUGGGUUAACAGGUGGUAAAGGAGAAAGAUAAUAAAGGAAAGUGCAGGGAGACACAAAGGUUUUUUUGGGUUUUUUUUUACCUCUACAGAAAUAAAUUGAGAUCUUCUGAAGAUCAGAAGGUUUUGAACAUUUCUUUGAGGCAGAAUAGAAAAGUCCUACUGAGACACUGAGUGAUUUCUAUCCAGACACGCUGCUUCUGUGUUAAGUUUCAUCUAUCAAGGUCCUUGACAGUGUUUUGAGACCAUUAGCUAUAAUGAGAUGAGUUUAGGAGAUCAAGGAAGGACAAAAGUUCUGAAAAAAACUUCAACUGAAAUUUUUGAAAUUCUGAGUUAGAAUAACUUUAGCCAUUGACUACCUCUUUUUAUUCCUAUUAGAUCACAGUUGAGUUUUAAGUGGAACAGACAGUAGGAUCACAUAAAUGGCAUUUUUCCUGUCAAAUUGGUUUGAUUUCUUUUUGGUGUCAUGUGAGCUUUAGUUGAUUGUUUCCUUUAUCCUUUUACUAGUGAUUGCUGACUGAAGAAGGAACUGUAUUUGUCCUUGUUAGGCUGGUACCAAGCUAGAAAUAUACUACUGCUGCUGUCCAGAAAGUUGGACAAGAAAUAAAAUCUUUGUAAGACAUGGCAGGGGUCUUGGGAAAACACAGUCAAAAUUUUCUUGACAUGUGUAUCCAGGCUGAAAUCACUGGUUGGUGAAUUUGUCUUUCAUCUAUUUCAGUACCUUCUGUCUCCUGUUGAAAUCAGGUUUGCAUGCUGUGUAGAUAAAAUGUUUCACCUACCUCUUUGAAAUUUCAUAAUAUAUUUUUGUUGUGAUAUUGGACAAAAACUACUGGUGGGAGUCGGGAGUUGGGGCAGCUCUUAAAGGCUCAGCUCCCUCAGGGUCACACGUAUUUCUGCUCUCGUUUUCACUUGCUGCAAGAUGAAACUUGUAGUUAAAAUAACAGGAAAAGAAAGGUCUCAAGACUUUAAUUCCCAGUUUGAAGUUCAUGAUUCUCAAUAAAAGUAAAUAUGAAGGCAAUGAUAGCAGCAGCAGCAACUUCUCGAGGACAGGCUGUGUGCCUGCUCAGGUGGAGCUGUGUCCUGUUUUCUGUUACUCAGAUGGCAGCACGAUAAACAGCCUGCUUCAUGCCAGGCUCACUCGGUGUAGAAGAGGAGGGGAUUGCUGGUUUUCCAGUAAAAAAAAUGUGAUGGGAUGGAAUGUUUUACACCUUGGGAGACCUUGGAAGCAAUUUAUGACUGCACAUGGACAAAUAAUCAAAAUAUCUUGUUUAGUGUCUACUUAAAAAAUAUUAAUGAUUAAGAGAUUUUCUAGAUAAAUUCUUAAUACAUCUAAAGACAUUAAUUAACAACAUACAAUUUCACCUCAUUUCAGCUGAAUAUUUUAGUCUUUCCCUGCAUUGCUUCUCAAGGCUGGGAUCCUGAUGGCCAUGUGGAACUGUUCUUUUUAUAACCAUUAUAACUGUUUUAUAACCAUUCUUUUUAUAACAACAUUUAGGUUCUGAAAAAUCACAACCAUGAGUUUCUUCAGUCUCCUGCAUUGUACUCUGAAUUCCUUCUGACUUUUUUAAGGGUCCUCUUCCUCUAAGCUUAUUAUCCUGUUAGCUGUUUUAAUGUGUGCUCACUGCAGCUUGUUACAGCUUUCUCUGUGCAUUGCUCCUGUUUGAGAUUUUACCUCAGUCAAGGCUUCAUCAGCACAAAACAAGGUGGAAUAGUUUAACAUGUAAUGGAUCUGGUCAUUUCAUGCAUUUAAGAUUAUAAAAUUCUGUUCACCUACUUGCCUUAUUUUUCUCCUGUUUUAUUUCAGAGUUUGAAAACGAACCUUUGUAAGCUCUGAUUUAUAGUUCUACAGAGCUCAUGUUGCCAAGACAACUAUUGUAAAUGUUCUCUUCUGGAAAAACCCUUGUAGACAUAAGAAGCUUUCCCAGAGAUAUCAUUCAAGCUGAAAUGUUGUAAAAUGAAUAGUGAAUUCACUAACAUUUUUCCUUACACUGUCCAUUUAAUUGACAUGGCGUUAUUCCCCAUGGGGUUAUUCCCCAAUGGGGUUAUUCCCCAUUCUGUAUUUGCAGUUUGUUAUUCUUCAUCCUCAUUUGAGUAGCCUGAAGGAAAAAAAAAAAAAUUAUCUUGAUGUUUCUUGAGUUAAAAAGGACCGGGAAGUGUUUCUGGUCAAAUAUUUUAGGUACUAGGAAUGCAUGUUCUCUGUGUUGCUCUGACAUCAAUUAUCAGUAUCUUCAUAGGGAAAAGCGGGGGAGGCUUAAUUUCUGGCAGAAAUAUGUUAGCUGCUAAAGCAACUAAAGAAAUUAGCAAGAUUGUUGUUGGGGUUUUUUAUCGAUUUCUGGAUUUUUUUUCAUGAUUUCAUAUUUCACUUUCUCAGCGCCACAUAAUGUGAGGUGUCUAGGGGCAACAGUACUGACUCUGGACUGAUCAUGCAAAUUUGGAAGCUGUAGAAAAGAGAGGUAUAAGCUAUUGCCUUAAUUUUACCAAUGGAAUUAAUUAGACCUGUACUUCAGUUCAUUAACAUUGUCAUUGGUCUUUAGUGUUCAUACUUGUUUACGAAAGAACCAAAAUCACAUCACAUGAGUACAUGGUUACAUAUCACAGCAUCCAUACUGAAUAAUUUAAGACUGCAUCUCAACUGUUAUAUGAACAAUCAUCAAUUUACAUUGUGGGUAUUAAGGAAAACCAUGGGAAAUAAUCCAUAUAAUAUUGUGAAUGAAAACAGCUUUGUUUCCAUGUUGAGAUAGAGUAGUGUGGUUAUUGUACAGCUGGUUUUGGAUAAAUUAAAUCUGUACAUGCACAGCACGAUCUCCUCUUGAGAGGAAGCCUUGGACAUUGCAUGGACAUGUAGUGAGGAGUCACAGCUCACAGGGGAGGAAAGAAUUUGAAGAGCACUGCAGGCAGCAUGAAACACUAGAGCAAAGCUUUAGAAAGAAAUGUUAAUUAAUAAUAAAAGGUAAUGCAUUCUCAUACAGACUCAAACCAGCCUGCAUAAACUCAGCAUUCUUGAAAAAAAUUGUGUGUGACUGGCAAUUUAGCAUCUUCUGAGCGAAGUUGCUUGAACUGAAAUAUUUUGGCCAUUACUCUAUUUUCAAUCAAGGUAGGGAACAGGAGCUAUCUACAUAAGCAGAUUCCAAAGCAUUCUAUUUUUGCAAAUGGAUUAAGGUGCAACUGAUAAAUGCACAAAGGGCUUUAGUUCUCCAUUUAUUGUUUCUUUUUCAUAACAGCUAGUUUCAGAAAGCCACCAAAGAGCUUUCAGAAGUAGAAUGAGUAGCUAGUGGGAGCAGCCAUGAACACAUGCAAUCCCUUCCUCCCACCAGCCCUCCAGAGGAUACAGAGUACUGAGAAGCUCAUUUCAAAAAACUAUCAUUAGCUAUGACUUUUCAGAAAGGCACAAGUUUUUACAGAUAUAGCUGUUCUUGUUCUAAACAUGUUUCAGUCUUUAGAAUACGGAAGAUAAAGAGACAUCUGAAAAGCUGUGCACAUAAUGGCUGAUUAAAGACGCUGCAUCCCCAAGAGCAUGUGAACACAGCUAGGACAGAAUUUUCUUUCUUUUGUGAAAACACACACCAGUUCAGCAUUUAUAUAAAGUAAUGCUUUAAGGUGGAUAAAAAGAGGUUCUUGGCAACAGAGAGGUCUUUGUGGAGGAAUAUGUUACUUUCUGUGGAGUUCCAUCAACAUAUUCAAAUUUACUUCCAAGAAUCUUCCAAGAAUUAGCAUAUUUUUUUAUAACUCCUUCUCAGAUACACUGUGUCACUUGCUCUCACAGUUCCCAUUUAUAACUGAUAUCACAUGAGCGUCGUUAAGACACGGAGCAGAGCCUGAGUUGUUAUGACACAGAAUCACAUAUAUGGGCACAAACUUUCUUUGGCAAGUAGUUUAAAGAUUUUUUUAUUAUUAUUUUUAAGAUAGUGUAUCUAUGCUAAAUAUAACUGCAGUCAAAACUGAAAUAAAUGGGGGUCCUGGGUCUCAUCAAGGUUUAGCUCCAUUCCAGAUCAUCUUGGCAGAGAGCAAUUUCCCAGAAAAUUGUCAAACACUUUCAGCUGCAGGAACUAUGAAGCCUGACAUCAAACUCAAAUUUCUUUCGCAGUACUCUCAUUUGAAGGUAAGAACCCACUCUUUAUUUCAAGCAAUUUUCUUCAGUCAUGGUGGGGAGAGCCCAGAACAGUCUGUGAAGCUUUGUGGUAGGUUUCCACAUCCAUCUCUGCACAAUCACUAACUAGGGUCAUUUACAAGUUUUAUUUCUUGAGCUCUAGGUGUGAUUUCUCUUGACCCCCUCCUGUUUCCUCCCCGAGGCACAUUAUGCUGAAGAUAUUCUUACUGUGGUGCUGACCUGUGACCUGUGCCAUAGGUAAGGAACAAAUGUUGUGUGACUCUCCUGAAGUAGAUAUCUCCUGCAUGAUUAUCUGAAACUGGGAGUGCUGGUGGGGUCACACACUGCCUGCCUUCCUGUCCUGUUCUUCUGUCUCCUGAGAACAUUACCAGCACUGCCAUCCCUGCCUCUCACACACAGAAGAAGCAGCCAGCUUUAAACUCCACAAAUGAAGUACAGCUAUCAACAGAGCUGUGGCAGACUGGAACUCAGUGUGGGCUCACUGCCUGAAUAUUUAUUUAGUUCCUGGGCAAGUUUUCCAGCUGAAUCUGUCUGCCGCAGCUGCAUGGCUAGAACGUAGCUGGGUGAAUGUGUGCAUUAACCUGCAGAACAAGCUUAAUGCUUGAAAAUGAGCUGCAGGGAAUGCAGAAGAUGAUUGGCAUGAGCACAAGAGUAUUGGGUGCUUUUAGCUAACCCCUCCCUUAAGGUCUUCUCCAGUGAUUGUGUGCUAGACUUACAAGUUAAAAGUUAAAGUAUAACUUCCAACCAAAGUUAAGGGACUAAAGCAAUAUGAUAGACUGGGGAAUGAUGCAACUUUGGAUCUUCUCUGAUGGUUCAAUGGCUCAGCAAAUCUGUAUUUCUGUCAUGUACAGGGUAAGAUUCACAGUUUAUAUCCCCAACAAAAUGUUGGGAACAUGAAUCAUAGUGAAUCUUGCAACUUCAGGCAAAGAGAGAACUCCCAAAGCAGCCAUAUUCUAAGAAGAAAUAAAGAAAUAUAUAGCUACCUACUACUAUCACAAGUAUUAAAAUAUAUCAUCUCUAAUGAAAAAAAAGCCCAGUGCAUCCAAAUAAAAAGGGAUAAUCAACUUGUAGAUGGUGGCAGAAUCCAUAAAUCUUAUGACUCCAUAAAUCUAUGGCAGAAGUACAGUGCUGGGUGGCUAUUAAAUAUACCCUGUUACAAAUUACAGAAUGCAAGGCCUGAUCCAUGCAGCUAUUUGGAUACUAAUGUCAAGGGGAGGGGACAAGCUGCCCUUAGGGCGAUUAGGAUCUCCCAACGGGCUGCUAAUGCAGUUGGAAUCUUCCUCUUUCCUCCUCUGUGCUCUUAUUUCUUCUCAUUUCUUCAAGCUCAGGUAACUAAAAAGUUCAUGUAAGAUGAGAGAGAUUCCUUAGAUCUACCAUGCAAUGCAUAACAGAGUUAGGGAUAACAAAGUUCUGUAUGGCUCUGAGGUAUUACUGUCUUGUUGGAGGUUUUUUUCCCAACAGCAAAUGUUUGCACAGUGCAAGAGAUCAGAAUAAUAAAAUAAAUAAACAUUGUCCAACUGAAUCUGGAAAAUCUCAGCUGCUUUGCUAAUGUGUGCAUGUGUAUAUAUGUCAAUAUACACACACAUCCAUCAACAGGAAGAAUGUGAAAUGGAAGCCAGGGAGGUCAGUGUAACACCAGCUGUACUGCUGGUUCUUUAGCUGACUUCACUGAGUAAACUGCCUCUCUACAACCUUAGUAAUUUGCCAUGGUCUCCUUCUUGCUCAAUUAGAAUUUUGUGAGGUGCUUUUGGUCCAUGUAAACCUGUACCUGUUUGAAUUUAUCACCUUGUGUUCCCUAUAAGCAAUCUGUGAAUUUUUGAAGACUGAAACAGGAUGCAAAAUGCUGCCCAGAAAACUGAAAACCAGCAUGUCUACACAGUGAAUAUGGAUUCCAAGGGGCUUCAGGGAGUACUAGGUUAUGUAUUGGGACUGCAGGGCAAAGGGAGAGUUUUGGAACAGCAUGUACAUCUAGAUGUCUUCUUAUCAGCUCUGCAGAGACCCAAGAGCUCUAUGUAUUGCACUAAGGGCAUGGUUGAAAGCCUUGUUAGGAGAUGGCAGUGUGUGAAGAGCUGUAGUGUGGUCUCCUUAGCUGGCAUAGCUACAGAAUCUAUUAGCAGGAACAUUUGUCAUACAGAUUUUGUCCCAGUAUAGAAAAUGGAAACUUUUAUUUUAGUCUGAAUAAGUAUUAUUUUUACAGUAAAGAACUGGAGUUGAAGAGUGUGUGUCCUUUGGCAAAGAAUGAUUCCCUAGUCUAAAGAGGCUAGGAAAAAAGAUAUUUCUAAAGAAAAAAGAAAAAUAUAAAAAUACAUUUUGUUCACUAAUAAAUUUUGCAUUUUCUUUUUCAUCUGCACAGAAGUUUAUGAAGCACUAAAAUAUUUGUUACACAGAAGUGCUAUCCAGAUUUUGCAGGGCAUUGCUGCUUUCCUGCCUGCCUUGGCCUCAGUAUGAAAGGACAAGAAGAGGAACCUGGUAACCAGGAACUCCUCCUCUCAAGGUGGAGAUUUUGAAUCUGGAUACCCUUGAGUCCAGUCAUGGCUCCCAUACCUUGCUGCAUUCAGAGCUGUGAAAGGGUGUUCUGAGGCUGGGAUUUCACUUUUAAGCUGAGAACAUCUUUUUCGGGACUAUCAGUCAAGAAAAUAAAGGAAACUAAUACCAUUUGUCUGCUUUGGAUGCUGACAUCAAUUACAGAGGAAAUGGAAGUAAGAGAGAAUCAAUUCACAAAUUCCUUUGAAGAAGGAGGGAAAUAUUUAUAUUUCCAAUGGGGAACCAUUCUUCCUA